Molecule: transfer RNA, 78 nt
Filed under: Myxococcales bacterium
Lineage: Bacteria; Pseudomonadati; Myxococcota; Myxococcia; Myxococcales
Description: tRNA-Phe
Rfam family: tRNA
About the family: Transfer RNA (tRNA) molecules are approximately 80 nucleotides in length.
Source: RNAcentral
GCCCAGGUAGCUCAGUCGGUAGAGCAGCGGACUGAAAAUCCGCGUGUCGUGUCGGUGGUUCGAUUCCGCCCCUGGGCA